UGUAUUUGUUUUUUCUUCCUUCAUUCUUUAUAAUGAAGAGUAUCCCCAUGUGGGGUUAUUGGUUUAUUAGAUUAAGUCCACCAUAUCCUUCUAGUGCCACACUCACUAAUAACCUAAGGCAUGGCCAAAAUAAAAGUAGUGUAAAUAUUUACUUUUUGGGAAUAUGUUUAAAAUAUAUUGAAAAUACUUAUAGGUUCACACUUAAAAUAGUUUGUGAUUCGAGAAUAGUAGAGAAGGUCGUUCAAAAAAAAGUUAGGAUUGAUUUAGUCGUCUCGUACAAAACACAUGUAUAUUUCAGUUAAAAUUUAUUGUUAUAGAUAUCAAACAGCUCGAUUUAAAAAAAUUUAAUUUUCGUUGUGCCUGAAAAUACUAUUUUCUAAACCAAUUUUUUCAACACAGGAAUGAUUUAGUCAGUAGAUAGAUUUAUUCUCAUAUUACUCUGACAAUGAGCCAUUGAAGAAUACCC
RNAcentral lists this long non-coding RNA (466 nucleotides) under Gossypium raimondii (Peruvian cotton). RNAcentral's name for it is "long non-coding RNA (GRAI_LNC009594)". Lineage: Eukaryota; Viridiplantae; Streptophyta; Magnoliopsida; Malvales; Malvaceae. The record is from RNAcentral.